AGCCAUCGUCUCUAAACAAAUAGUCAAAUACUGUAGCCAUUUCAUUUCUUUCCGCAUCCAAAAUUCCCCCCAUUCUUAAACCCUAGAUCUAUCCGAACCAUCUUCUGCGGAUCUUUAUUUCAAUGGAUUAUUUCAAGUUUCUUCCUCCUGAGAUUACAGUAAACAUCUUAAGUCGAGUACCCACUGAAUCAAUACUUGAAUGUAAAUCGGUCAGCAAAUUUCUUAUCAUCCUUCGUUCUUCAUGAUGCACUCCCAUCAUCAACUCAAUCAUCCUUCUGCUAAGUCUGGUUUUAUUACUUUAACUAAAUUUGUUAUUGCAAAUCGUAUUCCAAAAUUUCAGUAUUUCGAGUACAGUAAUGAUCAAUCAGCAACUCCCAUUGAGAAAAUUACAAGGUAUAAUUUUUCCCUCCAAUUACUGGUGAUAUCAACUUUCAUGGUUCGUAUAAUGGUUUAAUCUGUUUCGCUAGAUCGAAAUGCUUAGGAGAAGAAUCUAUUUGUAUUUGUAACCCCAUUACCAAAGAGUAUGUUAUGCUUCCUAAAAUUAAUCCAGAUUCUGGUGGUAAGUAUGUUCGCUGGAGGAACGCAUUUGGUUAUGUUUCUUCAACCAAUGAGUAUAAAGUUGUGGGGGUACAGUUUAAGACCGAUUUUGUAGAAGUCCACAUAUACACAUUAGUCAGUGGAAAUGGAUGGAGAAACCUUGUAAAGCUGAAUUCUAAUUCUACCCAGAUUAUUGGCAACAACCAGUCUUUGUCAAUGGAGCAGUCUAUUGGAUGGGUAAACAGUUAGGAAAGAUCUUAACCUUCGAUUUGUCUGAGGAAAAGAUUGUUGAAAAUCUUUCACCACCUCCUCUGCCACCAUACAGUUGGAGUCGGACUGGUAAUAAAAUUGGGGUUUUGGAUGGGUUUUUGUCUUUUUCUGUCGAUGGAGCCUAUUAUCAUGACAUAUGGCUAUUGCGAAGGAAGGAUGACAAUCAUGACAUGAAAGAGCAAAGAGGAACAUCAGUCAUUGGUUAGGAAUAAAGAGUUCAGCGUUGAUGGGAGUGAAUUAUUAGCCAUGACGAAGACUGAUGCUGUUUUUAGUUACCAUAGUUUCAACCUCAACGUUUAUGACACAAAAGCUUUAACCUCGAAAACGCUUGUGAAUUUUGAAGAGCGAUUUUGUAGAAUAUAUCCUCACCAGAACACCUUGGUUUCGUUGAAAGAAUUAGGAGAAGAAGAUACAAAGAUAAUGGAGUCAGUUGAAGGAGAUAGAAGGUUUCAUCUUGAAAUUGAAUAACAAGGGACCUUUCUGUGAACCUGCUACUGUCAGAAAGUUUUUAUAUUACAAAGGUUUCAUCUUGAAAUUGAAUAACAAGGGACCUUUCUGUGAACCUGCUGCUGUCAGAAAAUUGAAUACCAAUAUAUUCCAGCAAGAGGGUUGAAGGAGCUCUGAAGCACUGGUGCUUUAUGUUGGUCCUUGUUUCUAUCCUUUUGCAAUUGUGCAGUGCACUUGAUGAAGAGUUUGAUGUCCAUCAUAGACUGUGUUCCUGUUUGAAGAUACGCAUUCAACAAAACUCUCUAGUUUCAACUUCCAAGAGUAUGCAGUGUUUGGGAAUAAGCAUGUAGUUUAUCAAGCUUGAAUCUCUUUUUGUCUUUCUGGAAUUUGCUCGCAUGAUGAGGCUAUGGCACAAGCUGAGUCAAUUUUAGCUUGGCUGCUUUAAAAGUGAGGUUUAGCAAUUUUCACCAUAUGGCAAAUGAUCGACUCGUGUGAUGUUGCUAUGGCACCAUUUGUUUUGACAGCCAAAUUUCGCAGCCUGCUACUUGAUCUUUUUAUGCCCAAUUUCCCUCAUUUUUUAUUUUAUUUUAUUAUUAUUAUUUUAUUUUAUUUGUUUUGCAGAGCAUUUCAUACUUCUGAUUUUACUCGUGAUUUUUUAUUGUUUGGAGGUGAUGGUGGAUCAUACUUAUCAUGCUCGCCUUCUAAACUUCCUAUGUUUAAAGAAGGGUUGGACUUGGUGCCGUUCUUGUCAGGAUGGAUGCUGGGUCAAUGUGCUCACCUGGAUUCUCCUGCCAUUUAGCUUAUCAGGUUACACAUAUUGUGGCCGCACACAGAUUAUCGGUGUUGAUGGUAAGCGCAAGAUGGAAAUAAGAGUUGAGGCUGGCUACUUGUUCAUUGUUCCAAGAGUACUAAUACUGAAAUCUUCUUCCCUGCACCAAACUAAGAAGACUAUGAGGAUUUCCUCUCAUCUCCUACAAUCUUUCUUUAGUUUUAAUUAGUGUUUACAAAUUUUAAGAUCGAGUUUUGUUCGAUCAUACAAACCCUUUA
Molecule: long non-coding RNA, 2301 nt
Organism: Papaver somniferum (opium poppy)
Lineage: Eukaryota; Viridiplantae; Streptophyta; Magnoliopsida; Ranunculales; Papaveraceae
Exons: 3
Source: RefSeq, a predicted model, not a curated record